GAUGUUUAUAUAACAGGUUGAAUUUGAUAAUAACAUGGACAUGAGUUUAAGAUCAGGAAAACAUUAUGAACAUGAUUUCAAGAUAAUAUGAACAUGCCGUUAAGAUGACUAUAAAUAUGAGUUAAAUCACAACCGGUUUCUAAAUAAAUCUCACUGAAGUAGGUCAAUUGAAAUCCGUAUAUAACAGUUUCAUAAUGUUUAGUAUAAGAACACUAUGAACAUGAGUUUAAUAACAUAAGAAGACUAUGAACAUAAGCCUAAGAACAUUUCUAACAUCGUUUAAAAAAGCUUUGAACAU
RNAcentral lists this long non-coding RNA (298 nucleotides) under Brassica napus (rape). Its description in RNAcentral is "long non-coding RNA (BNAP_LNC009787)". The record is from RNAcentral. Lineage: Eukaryota; Viridiplantae; Streptophyta; Magnoliopsida; Brassicales; Brassicaceae.